Paramisgurnus dabryanus is the source of this 1598-nucleotide non-coding RNA. NCBI's taxonomy places the organism in Eukaryota, Metazoa, Chordata, Actinopteri, Cypriniformes, Cobitidae. The record is from RefSeq and is a predicted model, not a curated record.
ACUGUUCGGCUUCUCGCACAAACCGAUCGUUUCGUUUCUUAGGAUAUCAAUGUGUCGUCACGAGCGGCAGGGUUUAAUUUGGAUUUGUCUGUGCAUGUUUUUACUGUCUGAGAUUUUGUUACUAUUCACAUGCAUACAGACUGAAACGGUUGGAGUUUCUACAUUUGUGUUGUACUGAAGAAACAAAAUCACAUACAUCUUGGAUGGCCUCGGGGUAAGCUGAUAAAUACAAAAAAUUCAUUUUAAGAUGAAUCCCGUACGUUGGCGGCUGUUUUAAACUGGGUGCUCGGCUCAGACCCUUUUGCCAGUAUGAAGCCGAUUUCAACGGUAACUGCAGAAAGCGUCAGCACGCUCAGCUCAUCACUGGAGUAACGUCUGUACAACGGGUGAGAUAAAACUCAACGCCUGACUGAAUCAUCCAUUCCCUUUUCGAUCCUACGCCAUACGUUAAACUUGAGGUAAUCUUGCUUUUGCUGUUCUAAAAUAAACACUGCUCUUAGCACACCACCCAUACAUGGCACACAAAACAGGUCUUGUGAGGGGGCUGUGCCCACAGGUAGAAAUUCUGUGGGUCCACGGGCUUCUCCCCUUUCAGCGAACAUCACAGCGCUUAGUCCACCAUCGUGGUCUCCAAUCUCCAUUACCAACAGCCUGAGUGCUACACCUACAGACACCCCAACCCAUGCAGCAGCUGGCAGAAGUCAGACAUCAGGCCAAACUGGAUUUCAACACACCCCACCCUUACAUGGCACACAAGUAUAUGACACACAACACAGGUCUUCUCAGGAGGCUGUGCCUACAGAGAGCAGCAGUUGCAGACUUCACCCCAGACCCAACACAUUUUGGGCUCCCACUUUCAACUAUUGAGGAGCUACAAUGUUUGUAGGAGACAUUAAAUAAUCCAGAUGAGAAGAAGAAUUUGGUGAGACUGUUUUUCCUGGAAUGGUCGGAGACAAGACUCUUAAAGACACCGUGGGGUGGGUCCUGAAAAAAACAAUGAACUCUUCGUGGUGAGACUCAUCAAUUGAAGUGGGGUCAACUGAAGCCUGCAUUCAAAGGGCUCACUUUGAAAAGUGUGGUUUUGGAUGCAGUCCGCCGGAAUGCCCUGACCAAAGAUAACACAGAAAAGGAGAUAGAGCUCCUCAUCACCAGGUGGUCGGUGCUAGCAUAUGACAGGGAUGGUGGCCGAAUCCAGACAAUAGACAGACAAUGAAUUAAAAUGUUUUAAAUUUAAAAAUGUUGAUUUUUGGAAAAUUCGUAUUUGAACUGAUUGUGUGUGUGUGUGCACCUGGUAAUUAUCACGUUGUGUCCCCACAAAGAUAGGAAUACCAGUAUUUUUGUGACCUUGUGUCCCCAUGAGGAAACAAGCUUAUAAAUCAAACAAAAUGAUGUUUCUUGUAAAUGUGAAGUAGGAGAAGGGUUUCUGUGAUGGUUGGGUUUAGGGAAUGGGGUAGGUAAGGGGAAUAAAAUAUACAGUUUGUAUGGUAUAAAAUGCAUUACGUCUAUGGAAUGUCCCCACAAAACAUGGAAACCUGUUUGUGUGUACGAGAGAGAGAGAAUGUGUGUUCAAGUGAAUAAAAAAUGCAUUAAACGUGAAA